RNAcentral lists this long non-coding RNA (294 nucleotides) under Mytilus galloprovincialis (Mediterranean mussel). Lineage: Eukaryota; Metazoa; Mollusca; Bivalvia; Mytilida; Mytilidae. The record is from RNAcentral.
UUGUUAUGAAUUGCUGAUUCUGUUACGGUCAUCUCGAUUGUGAUUUACGGUCAUCUUGGCGAUUUUUUUAAAUCGAAUUUCCUGUUUCAUGCACAUUUCUCGGAAGUAAUUUGUGAUUUCCGUGUGAAUCUUUUAUAAAUUUACAUCGUAUCAAUGUCUCCUUUGUAAAGAAAAUGAUAUAGAAACACUGUAACAGACAAUACAGAUACUGACCUAUUUUUUCAUCCGACAUCUUGGGAUGACCGUGAAUGCAGUUACGGUCAUCAGCUUUACCCCAGUGGUCAUGGCGUUGUC